Molecule: small nucleolar RNA, 133 nt
Organism: Cavia porcellus (domestic guinea pig)
Lineage: Eukaryota; Metazoa; Chordata; Mammalia; Rodentia; Caviidae
Gene: SNORA70
Rfam family: Small nucleolar RNA SNORA70
About the family: snoRNA U70 seems to be exclusive to mammals and is a member of the H/ACA class of snoRNA which contain H (ANANNA) and ACA box motifs. H/ACA box snoRNAs are involved in the conversion of uridines to pseudouridines (5-ribosyluracil) a constituent of structural RNAs (transfer, ribosomal, small nuclear, and small nucleolar).
Source: Ensembl
UUGCAACUGAUAAGAUGAUCAGACUCCUUUUCUUGAGGGAGCUCAGGGUGUGAGGGCUCAAGCAACAACAUUCUUGGCAGUGUAUGCAGCCUGUUGCAUAUAUGGGUUACCCUAAAGGACCUUGAAGACAGGU